UUUAAGACUUCACAUGCUUUUUGACGUGCUAAGAGGACGGAGAAGUAUGCACGUCUUUAAAGUAACAUGAGAAGUCUAUUACACUCCUGAGGUUUUUACUGGAAUACUUUGAUCAGAAAUAAGAAAGGCGUUUAAGCUCAGGCUGAAGGGACUGGUCAUCAUUUUUACAAUUUCCCUUGAGAGCUCAGAGUUUGCUCUUGUUUCAAGCAAACUGCAACCUUGAAGAGCAGAGUUGAGUUGGAAGGGAAAACGAGAGACUCAGCAUGUUGAAAGCUGACGGAAACUGCAAGCCCGGGAACUGAAAAUCUUUGUUGGCUGGCAGUGAAACUUGUGAGUUUGCAUUCCCAUGAAGCAUUGCUGCAUGGCAGCUGGUGGCAGACAUCCCUCAGCCAGGACUGUUCAGCUGUCUGUUAAAGCAGAUUGUUGUUGUUUUUUGUUGCAAGCACUAAAGAAGCCUCUCAGAAUGGAUCUCAUUCACCGAACCACUUUGUUAACCUGCAGCGGUCAUCCGACACACAAACCAGCCAGCGUGCCGCCUCAACUCAGCCGGGAUAUCCUUGUUUUCCGGUUCUAAACAUCUGUCCGUCCCACAGCAGAGAGGAAAACAGCAGUUUGAACUGUGGAGACAUUUUAGCGCCGUCUGUCAAAGUGACUCUUCUGGCCUUUAAGCACUCCAAAGGACCUUAGUUUCCAUGUAUCUUUGGUUCUCUAACAGCUCAACACAGAAAAAUCAACACAACCCUCAAGUGCUUGCAAUGAAGAUGUCAUUUUCUGAGACAACAUGACAAAGACAGAAAACAGGCAGCUGUGGCUCAGCUUCAAGGGAGGAACCAGCUGCAUCAACGCUCAUUUACUCUGAUGUUUGGCGUUUACUCUUGUCUCUGGACUCCCUCCUGAAGCCUGAACCUCAGCGGUCGAAACCUUCUCAUGGUCCCUCAAACUCAGGAGCAACUUUCUACAACAAGUGAACAUCAUGAGAACUUUUCUUGUUUUUCUCCAUUUAGCAUCCUCCUGGACUAUUUCUUCAUCCUUCCAUAGUUCAGAGGACUGUGACUUUAAAGAUGAAGUUCAGAGUAAAAACCAACCAAACUAACCUGAAUCACAGCCUCCAGGCCCGGCGAGCGCCGCUCCUCUUCACAGCUCAUUACUAAACUAACAAGGAUCCAGGUCCCACAAUAACGUUCAAAGCUCCACAGCGCUGUGCCAAUAAAGUUAGCAGAGUUCCUUCUAACAACAGGAAGUAGCUCAAAAACACAAAACGGAAAAGAAAAUAAACCCUGGAAGAAAUCUGCAUCCUGGAGCCCGUCUUUGGGUCCUUCUCCAGCCCAUGCACCCUGAAAACUCUCAGCCACUGAGACUUUUGGAUCGCCACGGACAUUAUCAGUCAGCAGGAAGAAACGGCUCAGACAUCCAUCCUCACCAAUGACGGGGUUGUAGCACUGCAUGGUCAGUGCGUUGAACUUCACGGCACACGAUCCGAUGACGUACAGCUUCCCGUGGCAGGCUGUCGCCGUAAAGUUAGUUACAUAUUUCAAGGCCGGACACGUUAAGGUCCAAGUGUUGUUGUAAGGAUCAUAAUGCUCAACCUCAACUCGCUCCGAUGUUGUUCCUGAAGAGAACAAAUACCCAGAAUUCACGAGAAGACGUUGAGAACUGCAUACAUGUAGUGAGCACAGAUUGGAGCUUUCUUACCUCCAAUGACAUAAAUCUCUCCGUUGAGCGUG
Molecule: long non-coding RNA, 1724 nt
Organism: Oryzias latipes (Japanese medaka)
Lineage: Eukaryota; Metazoa; Chordata; Actinopteri; Beloniformes; Adrianichthyidae
Source: RefSeq, a predicted model, not a curated record